AUGCUCACACUUUCUGUAUGGAGCUGGGAGCGGUUGCCGGUUGGACGACCGAAGACCGUGAAGUACCAGGAUUGGAACGACCAUGACGACCCACUACGGUACCCCACUUGGGCUUAUAAGUGGGAUGUGGUAAAUGAGACGACGGAUGAUCCCUCGGUCAUGUACAAGUUUGGCCUAACCCCAAGAGAUAUACCUUGGCCACCAUCUACAACACCUUCAUCCGCGAGACUAACAUCCUUCAACAAUGUAGUCCGAUGA
Molecule: ribosomal RNA, 258 nt
Filed under: Triticum aestivum (bread wheat)
Lineage: Eukaryota; Viridiplantae; Streptophyta; Magnoliopsida; Poales; Poaceae
Description: partial small subunit ribosomal RNA
Source: RNAcentral